This 246-nucleotide ribosomal RNA is filed under the name uncultured bacterium. RNAcentral describes it as "partial 16S ribosomal RNA". It matches the Rfam family "Bacterial small subunit ribosomal RNA", at positions 524 to 769 of the family's 1533-position model. The record is from RNAcentral.
UACGUAGGGGCAAGCGUUGUCCGGAAUCAUUGGGCGUAAAGCGCGUGUAGGCGGCCAGGUAAGUCCGUUCUGAAAGCCCGGGGCUCAACCCCGGGACGGCGGAUGGAUACUGCUUGGCUCGAGUCCGGAAGAGGCGAGUGGAAUUCCCGGUGUAGCGGUGAAAUGCGCAGAUAUCGGGAGGAACACCAAUGGCGAAGGCAGCUCGCUGGGACGGUACUGACGCUGAGACGCGAAAGCGUGGGGGGC